Long non-coding RNA from Micropterus salmoides (largemouth bass), 2078 nucleotides. RefSeq lists it as uncharacterized. The record is from RefSeq and is a predicted model, not a curated record. Lineage: Eukaryota; Metazoa; Chordata; Actinopteri; Centrarchiformes; Centrarchidae. The transcript has 3 exons.
UAAUAAUAAUAAUAAUAAUACCUCAUUUAGAAACAGUGGAUGCACAAGUCAAAACCACACAUUCAUACCAUACAUACUAAUAAUAUACAAAUAUUUCCACAGGUAACAAUGCUUAUCAAAUACCAACAAUGGUAGACGAAAUACCACAAGGGUACAUAAUGAUUAUCAAAUACCAACAAUGGUAGAUGGACUACCACAAGGGUAAAUAAAUGACAACUAAUCCAACAAUCUACACAACAUGAAUACAAUCAAACCUCAUUGUCAUUGUAAUGACAUUAACUUUUUUACUCACUAGCCAGAGUGGCUAGUGCUUCAUCAUAGUCACUAGCCACGCAGCAUUGUUGUUGGGAAAUUACGCUUUAUACAAUUAAAGUUGACAAUAGCAUGCUUAAAUUGGCGUGCUAAAAUGUACUAAUAUUAUCAUUAGCUCCGAUAAGGUUGUGUGUAAAACUCCCUUUUGUUGAAAAAAUAGUCUAUUAAGAUAAACACAUUAAAAUAGCAGCUUCUUAUUGUAUAUAAUAAAAGUGCUGCAUGGGUGUAAAAGAUUAACUGAAAAGGUAAAAACUAAACUAAAAACAAAAUUCACCAGAAACAUUGUUUAAAUGCUAUUUAUUUAUAAAAGCAGCAGGUUAAAUACUGUAAAACAGAGUAGAAAAAUUAUCUGCAUUAGAAACAAAGAGCAAAGGUGAAAAAAUCACACACAAUUAAGGCAAUAGGAUUAAAAUGUUAUGUAUAGGCCUAUAUCAUUUUUGUGCACUUUUGGAGUGUUUGUUUUGCAUCUGCAUUUCCUCAGAGCUCUGACUGGAUUUAUGUUUAUCAUCAUGAAGCUCUGAGUAACUGGAGAUAUGAAUUGAGUAUACAGGUCUUUAUUUUCCAGAUUAUUCCCCUACAAACGCAUCUUCUGCUUUCAUUCAUGGCAUGAAAACUUUUUAUUAAACCAUAGAAUCAACUCUGGAAAGGUAGUUGUGAUAUGACGAUUUGAAGGGCAGCCCUGCUAGUAGUCUGUUUUCUUUUAUAAACACCAGCAUGUCCCUUAAUCAUGAAGAUAUCGAUAUUUUACAGCAUUUAAUGGUACUUUCCUGCUGCUUUUCUCCGCCUCUGCUCUGCCUGUUCUCUUUCCUUCGUUCUCCUGUGCAUUUUCUCUCCACACUCCUCUGCCACGCACUGACUGAACACUGUGUUGAUGUGCGUGUGCAUGCGACCAGUCGCGUGUGAUGACCAUAAACUGUAUAUAAGAAGGUGACGACAGAGAUCAAAACAUCAAAUUAAAAGCGACCGGGAGGCUAACAGUCUACAGAUGCAGAGAUGAUGAGGGUGGACUGGACAGUGUGUUCGAGAAGAUCGAGGUAAUUGUCCUGGCUGCUCAGGGUUGUCUGAGGUGACAACUCCCAUUCAGGGACUCUCUGACCUGCUCCAUCGAAACAGGAACACAACAUUUACUGACCGAAGAACAGUCCAGAAAUGUUAGGGAUACAUUCACUUGUCUGGUUUACAGAGGAAUCAUGGAAGAUCCAGUAUUUGCAGCAUGCUGUGGAAGUUUGGUCGGAUGCAGAUCCUGCACUACUGUGUGGCUUCAGAAUUCCUCAAUGUGUUUGAAGUGUCAAGCGGAUGAUUUUUCCAUCAACAUUCACAGAGUCACUGGCCUUUCUGGUGUAGUAAAUGUCAUGAGAGAGCUGGCACACGAAGAGUAAAUGCUGCUUUUCUGCUUGCCACCAAUCCUUAUUUGUCAGUGUUAUAUCAUGUUAUAAAUACUUUUGAUAUUGAGGACUGAUGUUUUUUAUGUCGCAUCUUAGUUCUGGAGUUUUAAGAGCUAGAAAAUGUAACGAUGUUUUAUGUUACAUCAUUGUUCCCACCUCACAGUAGUUUUAUAAGAGCUAGUAGGUCUAAAUGUGGCAAGAUGUUUUUAUGCUACAUUAUUGUUCUCAGCCCACAGUGAUUUUAUAAGAGCUAGUAGGCCUAAACAUGGCAAUAUGUUGUGACAGGCUCUUCUGUGGAGAUUUGCAAAGCUGGACUUACUUUGUUUGUCUGAUUAUUCUUUCUGUACAAACGCAAAAUAAAUAUAUUUCUUCUCCAUAAAA